Molecule: transfer RNA, 94 nt
Filed under: Actinoplanes sp. OR16
Lineage: Bacteria; Bacillati; Actinomycetota; Actinomycetes; Micromonosporales; Micromonosporaceae
Description: tRNA-Ala
Source: RNAcentral
CGACGGCGUAGUCGAGAUUCCACCGCCACGCCUGCUGGCACCAGGCGCUCGCGAAGCUCGCCUUGUAGCAGGGUUCGGCGCCGCCGCCGUCGUC